Molecule: ribosomal RNA, 427 nt
Filed under: uncultured bacterium
Lineage: Bacteria
Description: partial 16S ribosomal RNA
Rfam family: Bacterial small subunit ribosomal RNA
Source: RNAcentral
UGGGGAAUAUUGCACAAUGGGCGCAAGCCUGAUGCAGCCAUGCCGCGUGUAUGAAGAAGGCCUUCGGGUUGUAAAGUACUUUCAGCGAGGAGGAAGGCGGUAAGGUUAAUAACCUUAUCGAUUGACGUUACUCGCAGAAGAAGCACCGGCUAACUCCGUGCCAGCAGCCGCGGUAAUACGGAGGGUGCAAGCGUUAAUCGGAAUUACUGGGCGUAAAGCGCACGCAGGCGGUCUGUCAAGUCGGAUGUGAAAUCCCCAGGCUCAACCUGGGAACUGCAUUCGAAACUGGCAGGCUAGAGUCUUGUAGAGGGGGGUAGAAUUCCAGGUGUAGCGGUGAAAUGCGUAGAGAUCUGGAGGAAUACCGGUGGCGAAGGCGGCCCCCUGGACAAAGACUGACGCUCAGGUGCGAAAGCGUGGGGAGCAAACA